GAUGAAGAACGUAGCGAAAUGCGAUAACUAGUGUGAAUUGCAGAAUUCCGUGAAUCAUCGAGUCUUUGAACGCACAUUGCGCCCCCUGGUAUUCCGGGGGGCAUGCCUGUUCGAGCGUCAUUUCAACCCUCAAGCUCUGCUUGGUAUUGAGUCCAUGUCAGCAAUGGCAGGCUCCAAAAUCAGUGGCGGCGCCGCUGGGUCCUGAACGUAGUAAUAUCUCUCGUUACAGGUGCUCGGCGUGCUUCUGCCAAAACCCCAAUUUUUCUAUGGUUGACCUCGGAUCAGGUAGGGAUACCCGCUGAACUUAAGCAUAUCAAUAAGCGGAGGA
RNAcentral lists this unclassified non-coding RNA (328 nucleotides) under soil metagenome. RNAcentral's name for it is "partial contains 5.8S ribosomal RNA, internal transcribed spacer 2, and large subunit ribosomal RNA". The stretch from base 1 to 120 matches the Rfam family "5.8S ribosomal RNA", at positions 35 to 154 of the family's 154-position model. The record is from RNAcentral.